ACAAAAAGCGACGGAGCCGCUAGUAGCGGGGAAAUCAUUCACCUUUUGCAGCUAUCAGAGAAACCGAGAAUGUAUGGAGCAGGGCGUGUCUAUCCACAACACCCUCAAGGCUGAAUACAGUUGGGGAGACCAGACGCUGCCAGACGUCACAUGCAUUUUUUUAAAGUUUCCCAGAAGUGCUUGGAUAUUUCUGCCCCUUAAUUCCCAUUCCUUGGGGAGUACAUUGAUGGGUUAAUAAAAAAUGCCUGCAGGUGGAGCUUGACCAAACACUUGUAGAUCACGCAGGCUCCCAGCCCAAAGGGACUACAGAACAAUCUUGAUCACAUCCACCCAGCAACCUGGAAACAGCUUUGAAUUUCUUGUCGUGUUAACCUCUGGAUCUGAAGAGAGGGUAAACUUAAAAUUACCUUCCCAUGGGGACCUGGGACUCUGGAUGAAUCUACAGUACAAUGCUGUGAAGAACUGAAGAGCCUCAGGCUUAGAGACCAGGCUAAUGUUGAGAGUCCCAGGGCAAAAUGCAUGGCUCUGAAUCCUUGCAGAGUCUCCCUAGGGGCAUGGAGAGGGCCCUGACUUGGGGCUCGAGGUCAGGUGGCAGUGAAGGGCCUCUACAGCGAUAAAGCCCAGCUGCCUCUUUACCUUUCCUCAUAGUGAAAAUACAUGGGAAGAAAAGGAGUGCUUUGUCCAACUCUGUUCUAGCCCAUUUCAUGGUCUGGUUGAUUCUUUUGGUAGAUGCUGAACACUGGAAAAAUCCUGCAAGGAUUGAAGAAUUUCCAUUUUAGGCUGGGCGUGGUGGCUCAUGCCUGUAAUCCCAGCACUUUGGGAGGCUGAGGUGGGCGGAUCACGAGAUCAGGAGUUUAAGGCCAGCCUGACGAAUAUGGUGAAAUCCCAUCUCUACUAAAAAUACAAAAAUUAGCCAAGUGUGGUGGCACACGCCUGCAAUCCUAGCUUCUCAGGAGGCUGAGGCA
This 965-nucleotide long non-coding RNA is filed under the name Homo sapiens (human). RNAcentral's name for it is "HSALNT0099508". Lineage: Eukaryota; Metazoa; Chordata; Mammalia; Primates; Hominidae. The record is from RNAcentral.